Molecule: ribosomal RNA, 356 nt
Filed under: uncultured bacterium
Lineage: Bacteria
Description: bacterial SSU rRNA
Rfam family: Bacterial small subunit ribosomal RNA
Source: RNAcentral
AACGAACGCUGGCGGCAUGCCUAACACAUGCAAGUCGAACGCUCGGCUUCGGCCGGGAGUGGCGCACGGGUGAGUAGCGCGUGGGAACCUGCCCUUCAGUGGGGGAUAACCGAGGGAAACCUCGGCUAAUACCGCAUACGUCCGGGGGUGACCCUGGGGAAAGAUUAUCGCUGAAGGAGGGCCCGCGUCGGAUUAGGUAGUUGGUGGGGUAACGGCCUACCAAGCCUGUGAUCCGUAGCUGGUCNGAGAGGAUGAUCAGCCACACUGGGACUGAGACACGGCCCAGACUCCUACGGGGAGGCAGCAGGUGGGGAAUAUUGGACAAUGGGCGCAAGCCUGAUCCAGCAAUGCCGCGU